This 499-nucleotide ribosomal RNA is filed under the name uncultured bacterium. RNAcentral describes it as "partial 16S ribosomal RNA". It matches the Rfam family "Bacterial small subunit ribosomal RNA", at positions 28 to 507 of the family's 1533-position model. The record is from RNAcentral.
GACGAACGCUGGCGGCGUGCCUAAUACAUGCAAGUCGUGCGGACCUUUUAAAAGCUUGCUUUUAAAAGGUUAGCGGCGGACGGGUGAGUAACACGUGGGCAACCUGCCUGUAAGACUGGGAUAACGCCGGGAAACCGGGGCUAAUACCAGAUCGUUUUUUCCUCCGCAUGGAGGAAAAAGGAAAGGCGGCUUCGGCUGCCACUUACAGAUGGGCCCGCGGCGCAUUAGCUAGUUGGGGGGGUAACGGCCCACCAAGGCAACGAUGCGUAGCCGCCCUGAGAGGGUGAUCGGCCGCAUUGGGACUGAGACACGGCCCAAACUCCUACGGGAGGGAGCAGGAGGGAAUCUUCCGCGAUGGACGAAAGUCUGGCGGAGGCACGCCGCGUGAGUGAAGAAGGCCUUCGGGUCGUAAGACUCUGUUGCCGGGGAGGAACGCGUGCCGUUCGCACAGGGCGGCGCCUUGACGGUACCCGGCCAGAAAGCCACGGCUAACUACGUG